CCGGGGUUAGAAAUAUCUCUUGACCAAGACAAAUGGGGGCAAAAAUAUCAGAGAAGUUUCUUCCCUCUGUCCCUUGAACCCCCGUCAACACGGCAAAAGUACAUAUUAUCCCUCCGAUCCUAUUCAAUUCUACUCCUCUCUUUCCCUUCUGGGUCUUCCCAAAACCCCAAUUUCAACUUCUUGGGUCCUCCUCAAAACCCCCACAAUCCUACGGCCAUGGUGAGAAAAUCGAAGGAGAAGGAGAAGACCGGAGAUGGGUCCGGCUCCGCCGAGGGAUCGGUGCCUCCGUUUCUGAGAAAAUGUUACGAGAUGGUCGACGACGAAGAAACGGACUCUAUAAUCUCGUGGAGUGAGAGCAAUGACAGCUUUGUGAUUAGGGACGUGACCCAGUUCUCGGUUUUGAUGCUCCCCAAGAAUUUCAAGCACAGCAACUUUUCUAGCUUCAUGAGGCAGCUCAAUAUCUACGGCUUUAGAAAAAUAGAUCCGGAUCAUUAUGUAUUUGCAAAUGAAGGAUUUAUUCGAGGUCAAAAGCAUUUGUUGAAGAAUAUUUUCAGAAGGAAAUAUCCGCAGGGCACUGAUCAGAGUAAAACAUUGCAGCAGAAAGACAAUCAGAGAGACGAUCCUGAUGAACCUUCUGAAGACAUUGAAAGUGGUCUGUGGAGGGAAGUUGAGAACCUGAAGAUUGAUAAGAUCUCUCUAAAGCAAGAGUUGGUGAAGCUUAGGCAGCACCAGGAAAUAUCAGAAAAUAACUUGCUCCUCCUCAGAGAUCGCCUUCAUGGAAUGGAGAAGGAUCAGCAACAGAUGCUCUCAUUUCUGGUGAUGGCAAUGCAAAAUCCUGGGUUUUUAGUUCAGCUGGUUCAGUCAAAAGAACAUAGCUGGCGCUUCGCUGAAGCUGGAAAUAUGCUAGAAGAAGUAGAUGAUGGUAGACCAAUGGCUGCUGAUGGUGCCAUAGUAAGGUACCAACCUCUUAUGGAUGAAGCACCAGAGCCUGUCUUCACACCACAUUCGGGUUCGGAGAUUCAACCAGAAAUAGAUUCUUUUGUGAAUUCUGAUGGUGUAAUAGUAAGGUACCAACCUGUAGAUGAAGCGCCAGAUCCUGUAUUCACACCGAAUUUUGUCUCAGAGAAACAACCAGAAUUUGAUUCCUAUCCCGAUGGAGUGGGAGAUUCUUUCAUGAAUUCUGAUGGUGCAAUAGUAAGGUACCGAUCGCCUAUGGACGCAGCACCAAAGCCUAUACUCACACAGAGUUCAGGCUCAGGAAAACAACCAGAGUUUGAUUCUUACCCUGAUGGGAUGAAAGAUUUUUUUGUGAAUUCUGAUUUAGUGAAAAUGCUAAUGGAUGAUAAGUUGAGCCCUCGGGAAAAUCAUGCGCCAUUUAUCCUGCCAGAUGCUGAUGUUGAUGAUAAUGCAUGGGAGAAGCUUCUUUUAACUAGUUAUUUGUUAGAAAAUACUGAAGGUGCAAAGGAAGAAAGAAAAGAGCCCGAGGAUUCUAGAAUGGAGGUUGAAUCAACAGCAGCUGAGUUGGACGAAUCCAAAAAUUUUGAUUCUUUAAUAGAACAAAUGAACAAAUCAGUUCAUGGAUCUAAUAUGGAGAACUCUCGGAAUUUGGAAUUCAUUGGUGAACAUCUGGGUCUCAUGGCUUCCGAGCCCAACAAGAAACAAGAAACACAGUUGGGAAAGUAACAGGAUUUUAUAUCGGUUCUUGUGAUAGCUUAUAAUGGGAUAAAUGUACAUCUUUCUUACACAAGUAACAAAUAUUUUGAUGGUUACAAUCUUUGGGGAGACCAACAUGUUUAAAGUUUUGGUGUUUCUAUAUGUAAAUUCAAAUGUUACUAGAAGCAGAAUAUAUGUUGUCUGUGCCAAAUGUAGUGAGCUUCCUUUUUCCUAAUCUCACUUGGUAUACUUUUUCAACUACUGUUUGCAUUGUAACUUCAUGGGGACGCCAAAUGAUGUUCCUAUUAACGAUUGAUGUAGAUAUGAGAUUGUGCACCGUCUGAGGCCUUGUAUAAAAUGGCUACUCAGAGCGUAAGUUUCUUACUUUGUUCUUUUGCUAAAUUCAAACCAUGAGUUGAGAUUUGAGAAGUA
This is an RNA transcript of Rosa chinensis, 2085 nucleotides long. It is a transcript of the gene named heat stress transcription factor A-1, with no coding region annotated. The record is from RefSeq and is a predicted model, not a curated record. NCBI's taxonomy places the organism in Eukaryota, Viridiplantae, Streptophyta, Magnoliopsida, Rosales, Rosaceae. The transcript has 3 exons.